This 28-nucleotide small RNA is filed under the name Bombyx mori (domestic silkworm). RNAcentral describes it as "ovarian small RNA-12832". Lineage: Eukaryota; Metazoa; Arthropoda; Insecta; Lepidoptera; Bombycidae. The record is from RNAcentral.
CAAGAUCUGAUUGAUGCACCUCUUGGUA